RNAcentral lists this transfer RNA (72 nucleotides) under Jaapia argillacea MUCL 33604. Its description in RNAcentral is "tRNA-Pro (CGG) (tRNA-Pro-CGG-2-1)". It matches the Rfam family "tRNA". From Rfam's summary of the family: Transfer RNA (tRNA) molecules are approximately 80 nucleotides in length. Lineage: Eukaryota; Fungi; Basidiomycota; Agaricomycetes; Jaapiales; Jaapiaceae. The record is from RNAcentral.
GGCUUAGUGGUCUAGUAGUAUGAUUCUCGCUUCGGGUGCGAGAGGUCCCGGGUUCAAUUCCCGGCUGAGCCC